AUGGAAGAGAGUUCAGCUUAGUGGCGAACGGGUGAGUAACACGUGAGCAACCUGCCUUUCAGUGGGGGACAACAUUUGGAAACGAAUGCUAAUACCGCAUAAGACCACAGUGUCGCAUGGCACAGGGGUCAAAGGAUUUAUCCGCUGAAAGAUGGGCUCGCGUCCGAUUAGCUAGAUGGUGAGGUAACGGCCCACCAUGGCGACGAUCGGUAGCCGGACUGAGAGGUUGAACGGCCACAUUGGGACUGAGAUACGGCCCAGACUCC
RNAcentral lists this ribosomal RNA (266 nucleotides) under uncultured Eubacteriales bacterium. Its description in RNAcentral is "uncultured Clostridiales bacterium partial 16S ribosomal RNA". It matches the Rfam family "Bacterial small subunit ribosomal RNA", at positions 73 to 339 of the family's 1533-position model. Lineage: Bacteria; Bacillati; Bacillota; Clostridia; Eubacteriales. The record is from RNAcentral.